Long non-coding RNA from Alligator sinensis (Chinese alligator), 5063 nucleotides. RefSeq lists it as uncharacterized. The record is from RefSeq and is a predicted model, not a curated record. The transcript is spliced from 3 exons. NCBI's taxonomy places the organism in Eukaryota, Metazoa, Chordata, Crocodylia, Alligatoridae.
GACUAAUCUGCAAAGACUGAAUCAAUUCAAGCUCAGGCUUUUUGAAUGUCUGUCCCUAGCCAAAUAAAACCAAGGAUGACACCAACUAUCUAUGUAUUAAAAACACCUAGAACACUACUGACAGUCAUUAUAUGCUGAUGGGAGUAACCAGUGGUGAUUGUGCAAGUAGCAGCUGUGUGAUAAGGGGACUAUUGAGGUUCAAGGACAGAAUUUUUAUUGAGACAGAUGCCUAUUGAAAUUAAAAAUAAGUUUUUAAUUUUCACCUUGCUUUGACCAUCUGCUCGGACCGCCACCCUAGACAUCACCCUUUGAUCGUGUGAUAAAUUUGCAUUUGACUUCCAAGAAAAGAUGAUGAAAUAACAGCCAUUUGAGUUGAAGAAGUCACGUUACUCGUGUAUUCAGCUGUGUAGGGACAUGGCCGGGUGCCCGGGUCAAAGCAGAAGCAGCAACUUCUGGUUGUUGCCCAGAUAGUGAUUGCAAAUGCACAGCUGCUGCUUUUUUAUUUUUUUUUUUGCCCCACCCCAAGUCAUUCCUGGGGAGGUUGCCACUACUGCCUCUUGCACUUAUGCCACUGAUUCACCUUUGUAACCUUGAUCACAGGCAGGUAACUGGGGCAGCCAAUACAGAUCAUUGUUGUACCACCUUGCUCUUAUUCCAGUGAGUCCUUUGAAACACAUUCUAAUCCCUUAGUCACACUGAGUGAUACUGUGCACCUCAAAUACUUGCAGGUUCAAUAUUCAAAGAGUAAGGUGAGCAAGGCUAGGAGGAUCUGGCCCUUUGCUUGUAUCUUGUAUUCUUUCUCCUCUUCUUCUCUUUAUAAUCUGUAGCUUGUACGUGCUAGGACAGCCUCCUGUCUCUCUUGCCCUCUUCACUCCACCUGCUGCCAUGCAGCUGUCCUCCCCCCAAUUCCAUACACAACCAAUCUCGCUUUUGGCCCUCUUGCAAUGCAUGCCUAAAAAACAUAGAAGAUAGCUCUCCAUGUUCUGUAUCUUAAUGGAAGCUGCAUGGCCAUUUUUGGAUGUGCCUAAGUUAAUUAGCCCAGUGCAGUGAUGAAGCUGCUCUGCUUCCUGUUCAGGAGAUAGCAUGCUUUGAGCAGCUUAGCAGUGGGAAUUUCUGAGUGAGGGUGGAGUACUGAGAGGGCAUCUACCUUUGUAAUCUACCCACCGCACCUUUUGUGGCCCCUGGUUGGAAAUCGUUGCUUUAGGGCACAGGGAGGCUCUUCCUGUAUAGUAAUACUGUACUUAAUCCUGAUCAGGGAUGAUGGACAUUAUUGCAACAAAUUAAUAAAACUAGUGACAGGAGGGUUAAUACAUUAAUCUGUAUUGGGAGUGAUUUUAGUAGCUUUCCAUGUAUCAGACCAGACAGGAUGCAGCCCUUUUUGUUAACAACUAGUAUUAGAAUCUGUUGUUUCAUGUCUAUUUUUUUCAAUGUGCACAUGCCUCUGUUUCUGUGUGAGCAGACACUUUGUUUCAGCUGCUCACCCAAUUGUACCUUGGAGGACAAGAGCGUGGUAGUCUGAAGAGCUGGAUCACUUCUUCCCAUCAGGCUGUCCUUGGAGGUAUCUAGGCCACUAAGAGAGCACACAUUCCAUUUCAACAGAUGCAGCUCACAUUUAUGCAGGGUACAAUUGAUAGGGUGACUCACUGCUGUGUUAAUGCAAGCUCCCUGCUUUUUUUUUAUUCUUCCCUUUUUUUGAAUUAUAACUUCAGUUCAUUCAAGUAAAAUAGAUUUUACUUACUGCCUUACUGUGCUAUUUUAGGGGCAGAAUAAGAGGACAAUACGCAUAGAUGGUAAUAGAAAGACAUGACUGCAGGCUUUGUAUUACAUGCUUAUUUGGGAGCAAUUAAAAACACAAUGUGUUAAAAGAGAAAGUAUACAGAAUAUAGGAGACUGUGUAUCAUCCUACAUGCCUGAAUAUUGAGCAGUAUAAUUAAGAUACAGUUCAUGCAGUCCAUAAGUAAGAACAAUAGAUAUAGGAAGAAAAUGGGCCCCAUCCUCAGCUGGCGUGCAUUAGUAUAGCUCCAUUUAAGUAAAUGGGACGAUGCUGAAUUAUAUCAACUGAGGAUCUAGCCUUAGCACAGCCCCUCCACCUGUCCUCAUCAUCUCCACCAUUCAUCAAACUGCUGUGUUCAUAAGCAUCGAUUCAUAGAAGUAAGCUACAGUACUCUCACUUACCUUGGCUUGUUUAGCAAAGGGACUUCAUACAAAAGUCACCUCAUGGUCCAGCUGCUGCAGAACUCCUAGGACUAAUGCUGACUACUGUGGCUUAAACAUACCCUUUACCAGAACCCCACCUAUCGGGAUGCUCUUGGUCUACAGUUUAACAUGAUUGGUAUCGUCUGUAACACACCCAGAGUUUACAUAGGAUUAAAAAAUAUACUUUUUAUAUUGAUCCUCUGGGAGAUGCACACAGAAAGAGAACUAAUAAACCUUACAAACAUUUCCCUCCCUUACUCUUCUCAUCACUCUGAAGCAUUCUUUGGGUUUUGCUCAGGAACUUCUGGGGGUGUCCAUGAUUCUUCCUCUGAAGCUUGCAAUCUUUCUUUAAAAUUAUGGACUCCUUCAUGUUCUUUUCCACAUUAGCCUGCUUCAACCUUGGCUGUUCCCACAUUUAAAUAGAACCUUGUCUCCCAGCUCCAGCAUUGUUCUUUCUUCCUGUCUCCUGUCCCCAAAAUUCCCAAGGUAUCCUAUGAGUCUUCCUCACCUUCUUGUCUUGCUUUCCUUAUUCACUUCUAGGAAUUUUCUACUCUCUGUAGAGAAGGGGGAAAAACUAGCUUCUCCUACUUCAGCCCAUUUUUUCUGUGUUUUCACCUGAAAGUGUGAUCAUUAUGGUCUGACAACCUACUUUCCCUGGUUUGACGGUGCCUUUGUUGGCAGUGGAUUCCACAUAUACUGCCACUUCAUAAUUAAAUAAUUCAAGAUAAUGACUUCAUAACUUCAGCUGUAUGUUAUGAAUGGUAUGCAAACAGGUUGACUGUGUCAUAAUAGUGGAAAUCUUAAUUAAACCUGGACCUACACUUCCUUUGAGGUAAUUUUCUUUAUCCUCUGGAUUGUCUAUAUGUUUAGACAUAAUAACUAAGAGUUCUGUGGGGAUUAAUCAGCUGAAAAUGACAGAGUAAAAGCUAAUCUGAACUUUCAUUUAGAACUUCAACAAACUGAAAUCAAAUUGUUCAUGCCUGGCUCAUGGGUACUUAAUUAGUCAUUAGCAUUUUCACAUACAAUUACAUUUUCUUGUUCUUGCUUAGACCAUAAAUGGGAUUCUCAAAAUAUCAUGAGACUGUUCUUACUGUAAAUUGUUUAGCCGGUAGGAAUUACUGUAAUUCUCAUUUUUAACUUCAUUUUUAAAUUGAGAGGUCUAAGAUAUAUGUCGAAAGCAAACUUUUUAAGGAAUUAAAUAUCAUGGAUGAAAUCCUGGUUCUUGAAGAGUGGCAAAGUUCCCAUUGACUUGAAUGGUGCCAGGUUUUCAUCCCACACAAGUUCAAGUCUCUGCAAACAAAGCAGAGACUUGAUUUUAACACCAAAUACAUUUUUUAAAAAGUGUUUCUGUGAUUAAGAGAUUAUAUACGUGAGAUAAGGCAAAAUAAGUCUGUCUAGGGCAUGACAUGUACAAGUUGAUUGAAAUUCAGUUACAGGAUUAGAAGAGAAAAAUAAUUGAAACCAAUAUUUAUUUCAGAAACUGAAAGGAUUUUCAACUCUUCACGUUCGUUAUAAAAAAAAGACAUUUACUAGAAUUCAUACUUCAUGCCAUUUGUUUUUGGCACAGUCUUUUUCCAGUUCUGAGAACAGAUACUAUUUAUUCAUCAUGAUAUACAAGCUGUUUUCCUCCCUUUGCUAGCUCCCCUUUACAAGUUAAGUUAUAUGCUCUGCAAAUAUUGUAUGUAUAGUUAGUUAAUUAUAGGAAUUAUCUAAGAGGAAUUAUCUGAGAGAGGGUGGCUACUCCAGCCCCAGCAUCACUGCUCAUUGCCAGUAUUUGAAUGAAAUAAACAGUGUAAAAUGGGCCAUUCUCUCCCACGUGCUUUGGUAUGCUAUAUAGUAUGGCAAAAUAAAAAUCUGGGGCGAGUAGCUUUGCUUAUGUGAAGACCUGGAGGAUAAUCAGGUGGCAAGUAACUGCUAAUAUAGAUUCGUCAAGAGUAGUAGGCAACCAUCCAUCGAUUGUUUAGAUCAUGGUAAGAGUAAGUCAUGGCUAACCAACCCAAUUUCCUUCAAUAAUAAGGGACCGGCUUUGUGGAUGGAGAGAGAGAAAUGGAUGUGAUAUACAUUGACUCCAGCAAGGCCCCCAUUGCAUUCCCAUAAGAAACCAGAAGUAAAUAUGGUCCAGAUGAAGCUAGGUAGGUGCAAGUUGCCUCUCCAUUCCUUGUCCUCAGCUGUCCCUCCAACUAAGCACUACAUGCCUGCUUGAAAAGGGACCACGUGAAAUACCUGGAACACCUUCACUAUCAAUACCUCUGGAAAAUCCUUGGCAUAAAGUGGGAGGAUUGUUGCACAAAUGCCAGUGUCCUCACCAAUGUUAACAAUUUUGGUAGAAAUGUUGAUUAUGGAAACGUUGAUUAUUCAACAUUUGCUGUGGUGGACAGAGUAUUGUGUGCGCAUACCUGAUGUACAUUUACCGAAACAGCAGCUUUACUCCCAACUCAGCCAAGGACAAAGGACACACAGGGGCCAGAGGAAAUGCUUCAAGAACACUCUCAAGACAAACAUUAAGAAAUGUGGCAUUGACACCACAAAUUGGGGAAAACUAGCCCAAGACAGAGCUACUUGGUGACACCUCGUGAGAAAAGGUACAUUUUCAAGGAAAACUGUUUUGCCCUGGAGGCAGAAAAAUGACAGAAACAGAAGGAAAGGAAACAAGACUGAGAAAUCCAUGGUUCAGCCCUCCCUUUAACCACCACCUGUGUCAUCUGCCAGGGAGUCUGUGGCUCUAGGAUUGGCCUUCUUAGCCAUUGAUGGACCCACCUACAAACCUUUACUUGACCCAUGGGAGUGAUCAUCCUCGACAGUGAGGGAAUGCUGAUGACGAUAAAUUUGACAGUCUGAAAAGAGGGAAAAUUUAAAACCGCACUUGU